AGUGAACGCUGGCGGUAGGCCUAACACAUGCAAGUCGAACGGCAGCACAGUAAGAGCUUGCUCUUACGGGUGGCGAGUGGCGGACGGGUGAGGAAUACAUCGGAAUCUACUUUUUCGUGGGGGAUAACGUAGGGAAACUUACGCUAAUACCGCAUACGACCUACGGGUGAAAGCAGGGGAUCUUCGGACCUUGCGCGAUUGAAUGAGCCGAUGUCGAAUUAGCUAGUUGGCGGGGUAAAGGCCCACCAAGGCGACGAUCCGUAGCUGGUCUGAGAGGAUGAUCAGCCACACUGGAACUGAGACACGGUCCAGACUCCUACGGGAGGCAGCAGUGGGGAAUAUUGGACAAUGGGCGCAAGCCUGAUCCAGCCAUACCGCGUGGGUGAAGAAGGCCUUCGGGUUGUAAAGCCCUUUUGUUGGGAAAGAAAAGCAGCAGGUUAAUACCCCGCUGCUCUGACGGUACCCAAAGAAUAAGCACCGGCUAACUUCGU
This 491-nucleotide ribosomal RNA is filed under the name uncultured bacterium. RNAcentral's name for it is "partial 16S ribosomal RNA". It matches the Rfam family "Bacterial small subunit ribosomal RNA", at positions 29 to 506 of the family's 1533-position model. The record is from RNAcentral.